This 524-nucleotide unclassified non-coding RNA is filed under the name Hevea brasiliensis (rubber tree). Lineage: Eukaryota; Viridiplantae; Streptophyta; Magnoliopsida; Malpighiales; Euphorbiaceae. The record is from RNAcentral.
UGCAAUUGUAAUGGCCCCAAGAGACAGUUCAAGAACUCAUGGAAUAUUCCGAUUGACAAAUCCGGGUGGAAUGACAGUUAUACGACAAUGUCCAAGGCGUGGUUUUCAUCCGCAUGACCCUCCUCCUGAUGGUAGCCCAAUUUACAAGCAUUGUACAGAUGUCUAUAUGGAUUCUAACUUGAAGUUUGAUGUCAUUGAUCUGCGAUGACUUCGAUCAUCGAUUAAUGAUUUGAAAAUACAUCUUUUUUCCGUGGUGCUUGUUUAUUGAUUAAUGUUGGUUGGUCUACGAGAUUCAAUACACAAUCAGUGAAUACUCAAUUUGAUAGUUGUUAUCAGAUAACUCUUACCUUUGAAGCUGCAGCUUGCGUGCAGGUAAAGGUUGUAAAAGGUUCAUACCUGGCAUUCUUGCAGAUAUAAAUAGAACUGCAUCUUUGAAGACGUAUAAUUAGAACAAUUUGUGUAAAUAGAAAUUCUUUUUCAGGCAUCUUCGUGUGUAAACUUGCAAAAGGUCAAAACUAUUGACG